UCCAUUAGUCAUAAAUCACACCAUUUCCCUUCAUUUUAAGUUUAGAAUACCACUUGCUAAUUAAUCUUUUACUAUAAAAUAGAAAUUUGAGGAUUUAUUUAUCUAUUGUUGGAAGUUAUUAACCAAAUAUUUUAUAGAAUAGAACAUGAGGAGCUUCUUUUGCAAAAUUGGAGAUAGUGGUCCAUUACCUAGCAUCCACUUAGACUCAUUUUCUUCAUCUGGUACAAACAAAGAGCCGAAACGAGAGAGAGAGAGAGAGAGAGAGUUCCAAUCUUAGUUUCAACCCAACGUACUUUGAAUUUGUUGCUCCUCAUCCAGUGGCGGACGCAGGAAUUUAUUGUUAGUGGGGCACACUCAAACUUUUAA
This 366-nucleotide long non-coding RNA is filed under the name Olea europaea (common olive). RNAcentral describes it as "long non-coding RNA (OEUR_LNC001850)". The record is from RNAcentral. Lineage: Eukaryota; Viridiplantae; Streptophyta; Magnoliopsida; Lamiales; Oleaceae.